Molecule: long non-coding RNA, 1386 nt
Filed under: Macaca mulatta (Rhesus monkey)
Lineage: Eukaryota; Metazoa; Chordata; Mammalia; Primates; Cercopithecidae
Description: lncRNA (ENSMMUG00000062868.1)
Source: RNAcentral
AAGGUUGGCGGGGCUGGAGAAUUCCGGGAGACCCAAACGGGCCACGCCAGCCCAAGUAAGGAUCCGCCCUCCUCCUCCGCCGGAUUCCGGGGCUGGGGGUCAUUCGUCCCGCCGGUUCCCGAGCGGACGUGGGAGUUGUCUGCCCGCGGGGAGUCUGAGGACCGGGACACCCGCCCUGCUGCGUGCUCAACCUGGCCGUGGCCUUGGUGGCGGCACCGCCUUGGAGCCCCUGAGCCAGGAGAAGCGAGGGUUACGGGGGUGGCGGCAGGCGGGGAACCUGACACUCCAGGCGCCUGGUUGGGGAAAAGGCUGCGAGUGCGUGCCACUGCCAGAAUGUUGACAUCGCCUUGGAAAAAAUCCCAUGUUGGCCAGCUGGAAAAUAAGAUAUCAUGGGGAGGAGAAGCAAGGUGUCCCUGUUGACAACCCCACAAGCAGAACAUCACCCCCAGAAGCACAGCUGCCUAGUCAACGAGCAGCUGACGACACAUGUCUGAAGGAGCUCAGCUGAAACCAGAAGAAUGGCCCCACUGAGCCCAGCCUAAAUGGCUGACCAUCUCAAUUAUGAACUAAUAAGUUUUGGAUGAUUUGUUAUGCUGCAAUAGCUAACUAAUACAUGCACUCACUGCAGAUAGGAUGCCAGGAUUCAAUGACAGGUUGAUUACUAGUUAUCUUCUAACAGUGGGCACCCUAUAGGUACUGAUUUUUUCCCCUGAUUUAAAGUUGGGUGACUUGUAAGAGAAUGUUGAGUAAUGCAGAAAUACAGGUAGACAUGUAUGUAUGUGAUUGGUGCUUAUACCCACACACCCUCCACACCACAGGAAAAAACAGAUAACCAUACUCUGACAAUUAGGGCCAAGGCCAAAUAGCAAAAUAAGCUUGCUUUUAAUCUAUCUUCUCCAUAUCUAAGCAUUGGAGGUCAAGCGUGUGGACAGAAUUGAAGACACAGAGUUUUUUAUCCUGUGACCCCAACAUCCUUUGUUCACUGUCUGAUCUCUGGAAGAAAAGUGGACAACAGGUGGCCAGCAGUGGUCUACGUGCAGUUAUUUUAUUCCUGCUGCCACCUGCUCUUUUGAUGGCCACUAUCUAUUCCACCCUUAGAACUGAAGAAAGAUGUUGGUAGGGAGAGGCUCUGCCUUCACUUCUGGCAGAAAAGGAAUGUUCAGUUCAUUCACCCCCCUGACAUCAGAGCUGCACUUCAAUGUGGCAGCUAUUGGCCAUGUGUGCCUCCUGAGUGACUGGAAUGUGGCUGGUCUGAACUGUGAUGUGCUAGAAAGGUAAUAUACAGAGUUAGUUUCAAAUGUUUAUAUACAUUAUUAAUAAUUACACAUUCCUCACACAUUACAAUGAUAAUAUUAUGGACAUAUUGGGUUAAUUAAAUUGUUACAA